AUGCAUGGGCGCAGCCUGAUCCAGCCAUGCCGCGUGCAGGAUGACGGUCCUAUGGAUUGUAAACUGCUUUUAUACGAGAAGAAACCCUUCUUCGUGAAGAAGCUUGACGGUAUCGUAAGAAUAAGGAUCGGCUAACUCCGUGCCAGCAGCCGCGGUAAUACGGAGGAUCCAAGCGUUAUCCGGAAUCAUUGGGUUUAAAGGGUCCGUAGGCGGCUUUAUAAGUCAGUGGUGAAAUCUCCCCGCUCAACGGGGAAACGGCCAUUGAUACUGUAAGGCUUGAAUUAUUAGGAAGUAACUAGAAUAUGUAGUGUAGCGGUGAAAUGCUUAGAGAUUACAUGGAAUACCAAUUGCGAAGGCAGGUUACUACUAAUUGAUUGACGCUGAUGGACGAAAGCGUGGGUAGCGAACAGGAUUAGAUACCCUGGUAGUCCACGCCGUAAACGAUGGAUACUAGCUGUUGGGAGCAAUCUCAGUGGCUAAGCGAAAGUGAUAAGUAUCCCACCUGGGGAGUACGUUCGCAAGAAUGAAACUAAGGGG
Molecule: ribosomal RNA, 537 nt
Filed under: uncultured bacterium
Lineage: Bacteria
Description: bacterial SSU rRNA
Rfam family: Bacterial small subunit ribosomal RNA
Source: RNAcentral